This 253-nucleotide ribosomal RNA is filed under the name uncultured bacterium. RNAcentral's name for it is "partial 16S ribosomal RNA". It matches the Rfam family "Bacterial small subunit ribosomal RNA", at positions 524 to 776 of the family's 1533-position model. The record is from RNAcentral.
UACAGAGGGGGCAAGCGUUGUUCGGAAUUACUGGGCGUAAAGGGCGCGUAGGUGGCCUUCUAAGUUGAACGUGAAAUCCCUGGGCUCAACCCAGGAACUGCGUCCAAGACUGGGAGGCUUGAAUCCGGGAGAGGGAUGCGGAAUUCCAGGUGUAGCGGUGAAAUGCGUAGAUAUCUGGAGGAACACCGGUGGCGAAGGCGGCAUCCUGGACCGAAACUGACGCUGAGGCGCGAAAGCCAGGGGAGCAAACGGG